Molecule: ribosomal RNA, 491 nt
Filed under: uncultured bacterium
Lineage: Bacteria
Description: partial 16S ribosomal RNA
Rfam family: Bacterial small subunit ribosomal RNA
Source: RNAcentral
AGUGAACGCUGGCGGUAGGCCUAACACAUGCAAGUCGAACGGCAGCACAGUAAGAGCUGCUCUUACGGGUGGCGAGUGGCGGACGGGUGAGGAAUACAUCGGAAUCUACUUUUUCGUGGGGGAUAACGUAGGGAAACUUACGCUAAUACCGCAUACGACCUACGGGUGAAAGCAGGGGAUCUUCGGACCUUGCGCGAUUGAAUGAGCCGAUGUCGGAUUAGCCAGUUGGCGGGGUAAAGGCCCACCAAGGCGACGAUCCGUAGCUGGUCUGAGAGGAUGAUCAGCCACACUGGAACUGAGACACGGUCCAGACUCCUACGGGAGGCAGCAGUGGGGAAUAUUGGACAAUGGGCGCAAGCCUGAUCCAGCCAUACCGCGUGGGUGAAGAAGGCCUUCGGGUUGUAAAGCCCUUUUGUUGGGAAAGAAAAGCAGCAGGUUAAUACCCCGCUGUUCUGACGGUACCCAAAGAAUAAGCACCGGCUAACUUCGUG